This 68-nucleotide transfer RNA is filed under the name Allobates sp. Neblina. RNAcentral describes it as "tRNA-Met". The record is from RNAcentral. Lineage: Eukaryota; Metazoa; Chordata; Amphibia; Anura; Aromobatidae.
AGUAAAAUCAGCUAAACAAGCUUUUGGACCCACACCCAAACAUGUUGGUUAAACCCCCUCCUUUACUA